RNAcentral lists this ribosomal RNA (253 nucleotides) under uncultured bacterium. RNAcentral describes it as "partial 16S ribosomal RNA". It matches the Rfam family "Bacterial small subunit ribosomal RNA", at positions 524 to 776 of the family's 1533-position model. The record is from RNAcentral.
GACGGAGGGGGCUAGCGUUGUUCGGAAUUACUGGGCGUAAAGAGUGCGUAGGCGGUUUAGUAAGUUGGAAGUGAAAGCCCGGGGCUUAACCUCGGAAUUGCUUUCAAAACUGCUAGACUAGAGUGUAAUAGGGGAUGAUGGAAUUCCUAGUGUAGAGGUGAAAUUCUUAGAUAUUAGGAGGAACACCGGUGGCGAAGGCGGUCAUCUGGGUUAUCACUGACGCUGAUGCACGAAAGCGUGGGGAGCAAACAGG